This 451-nucleotide ribosomal RNA is filed under the name uncultured bacterium. Its description in RNAcentral is "partial 16S ribosomal RNA". The stretch from base 66 to 451 matches the Rfam family "Bacterial small subunit ribosomal RNA", at positions 39 to 507 of the family's 1533-position model. The record is from RNAcentral.
GGGGGGGGGGGGGGGGGGGGCGGGGGGGGGGGGGGGGAGGGGGGGGGGGGGGGGGGGGCCGGGGGGCGGCGGGCGGCGGGCGGGUGGGGAGCGCGUGGGGACGUGCCCCCAAGUGAGGAGUAACUGCCGGAACGGGUAGCUAGUACCGCAUAUUAUCUUCGGAUCCAAGGAUUUAUCCGCUUUGGGAGCGGCUCGCGUCGGAUUAGGUAGGUGGUCAUGUAAUGGCUCACCAACCCGACGAUCCGUAGCUGUUCUGAGAGGAUGACCAGCCAGACUGGAACUGAGACACGGUCCAGACGCCUACGGGAGGCAGCAGUGAGGAAUCUUCCACAAGGGGCGAAAGCCUGAUGGAGCAACGCCGCGUGCAGGACGAAGGCCUUCGGGUUGGAAGCUGCUUUUAUAAGUGAGGAAUAUGACGGUAACUUAUGAAUAAGGAUCGGCGAACUACGUG